Zingiber officinale is the source of this 457-nucleotide long non-coding RNA. RefSeq lists it as uncharacterized. NCBI's taxonomy places the organism in Eukaryota, Viridiplantae, Streptophyta, Magnoliopsida, Zingiberales, Zingiberaceae. The record is from RefSeq and is a predicted model, not a curated record. The transcript has 2 exons.
CAAAGACGUUCACGAUUUGUUUCUCGUGUGGAGACUCCUGAUUUCCUAGAACAAGCUCUUCCGAUUCAACUCACACAAUUUAAAUCUCCUUUUGUUCUCUUUUCUAGCCGCCGUGUGGUGUCGAUCGGAAUUGUUUGAGAAAGGGGAGGACGAGUACCUGGAAGCUGACGGAGGCGAGCGGCGCGGCCAUGCCGCGGUAGAGCGCGGCGGGGCCCUCCCGGGCGACGAUGCUGCGGAGGAGGCCGAUGGCCGAGGGGGGUCGUCGGGCGAGGGUGGAGGCGUUCGAGGAAGCGGGCGUCGGCGGCUGUUGGAGACGGAUGCGGAGCGUGUCGAGCGGGUAGCCGGAGAUGACCCCGGCCAUGCCGCCGAUGCCCCCGGCCACGAACUCCCUCCCCCAGCUGUUCGCCAUGAACUCCGGCCAGAACUCCAUGAUCUUGUACUCUCAUGCACACCUCCC